CGUGCCACCCAACGACACCAUUGCAUUGUUGCCGUUUCGAAUUUCUCGAAAACGGCGUAGUUGGUCAUCUUUUUCCUUUAAUUGAAAUUUCAGAACUUAUUCAGGGCUGUCAUGGAAUCCAAGUCGGUUUUGCAUUUUGUCGGAAUUACAAACCAAUUUUGGUUUCAUUUGGUGUCAUGAAACCGGAUUGGUUUUGCUCUUUUCGAACAUAAACAAAACCGAUGUUCGAAUCAGCUGUCUUGCACAUUUGUGUGUAUGGCGAUAAUUUGAAUGUAUAUUUUUUUGACACAAUUUUAUAAAAUUGAAUUGUUUUCAUUAAUUAAAAAAAAAAUAAGUGAGCGCAAAAUGACAUCCGCAGUUGUCGCAUUUCUCUUAUUGGAAGAAGAAAGUUCCGAGAAAGUUAAAAGAAAAAUUUUGAGAGAUUGCAGCAAUCCACUUGAGCUGCCUGAGACAGCUUUCAUAGCAUAUUAUCGCCUAAACAAAGAGGCUUUCCGAAUGGUGCUUGACACCAUUGAAGGGCACUUGACACGUUCGAAAGUUCCACCAGUGCUGCAGUUAGCACCUUCGUUGCGAUUUUUAGCUGAAGGAUCCUAUCAAAGAUCAGUCGGGAACGACUCUAGCAUAAGUGUAGCUAGAAGCACGGUGUCAACGAUUUUAGAUGAUGUGCUUAAGGUUAUGGAGCGGUUCAUUUGCCCUCAGUGGGUGAAACUAGAAAUGGACGGCACCGAAAAACGCAGAUCAAGAGACUAUUUUUACUUAAAGUACAAAAUUCCCUCAAUAAUUGGUUGCAUCGACGGGACACACAUAAAAAUCAUCAAGCCGAGUAUUGACGAACAUUUAUUUUAUAAUCGAAAUUGAUAUUUCAGUAUGAACGCCAUGCUUGCAAAUUUGUGAUGGUCACAUGAAAAUUCGAGCGGUCGAUGCACGCUAUCCCGGCUCUAGCCAUGACUCAUUCGUAUGGAACGUUAGUAGCGGCAGACAAUAUUUCCUCAAGAAGUAUGAGUCAGUUGACCGGACAUCAAAGUUGUUAGGAGAUUGUGGAUAUGGCAUAGAACCUUUUUUAUUAACACCAUACAGAGAUCCACGCUACAACUCCAAAGAAUAUAAGUUCAAUUUGGCCCAUUCAUCGCUCGAAAUAUUGUGGAGCGAACAAUAGGAGUGCUGAAAAGCCGAUUUCGCUGCUUAUUGAUCACCUUGCACUAUCGGCCAGAAAAAGUGGUGAAAAUUAUAAAUGUUUGCUGUGCGCUGCACAAUAUCUGCAGAAACUACAACGUGGAAUAUAACGACGACAGUAUUACUUUACCAUCAAAUGAUACUGAUGAAAAUGUUGAAUCUCCACCGAACGCAACACUGCAAAGUGAAGGUAAAAGGAUGAGGGAUGAAAUAGCCAACAGUUUAUAGCAAACCAACUGAAUAAAAAUUCAAAUAUUUAUUUAUUAAAAAAUAAAAAACACAUAUUUAUUUAUUUAAA
Rhagoletis zephyria (snowberry fruit fly) is the source of this 1471-nucleotide RNA transcript. RefSeq lists it as uncharacterized. The record is from RefSeq and is a predicted model, not a curated record. NCBI's taxonomy places the organism in Eukaryota, Metazoa, Arthropoda, Insecta, Diptera, Tephritidae.